AGCGAACGCUGGCGGCAGGCCUAACACAUGCAAGUCGAACGGAUCCUUCGGGAUUAGUGGCGGACGGGUGAGUAACACGUGGGAACGUGCCCUUUGGUUCGGAACAACUCAGGGAAACUUGAGCUAAUACCGGAUGUGCCCUUCGGGGGAAAGAUUUAUCGCCAUUGGAGCGGCCCGCGUCUGAUUAGCUAGUUGGUGAGGUAACGGCCCACCAAGGCGACGAUCAGUAGCUGGUCUGAGAGGAUGAUCAGCCACACUGGGACUGAGACACGGCCCAGACUUCUACGGGAGGCAGCAGUGGGGAAUCUUGCGCAAUGGGCGAAAGCCUGACGCAGCCAUGCCGCGUGAAUGAUGAAGGUCUUAGGAUUGUAAAAUUCUUUCAGCGGGGACGAUAAUGACGGUACCCGCAGAAGAAGCUCCGGCUAACUUCGUG
This 433-nucleotide ribosomal RNA is filed under the name uncultured bacterium. Its description in RNAcentral is "partial 16S ribosomal RNA". It matches the Rfam family "Bacterial small subunit ribosomal RNA", at positions 29 to 507 of the family's 1533-position model. The record is from RNAcentral.